GGAAAUGGGGGCAASCCUGAUCCAGCCAUGCCGCGUGUGUGAAGAAGGCCUUCGGGUUGUAAAGCACUUUCGGCCGGAACGAAAUCGCGCGGGCGAAUACCCCGCGUGGAUGACGGUACCGGAAGAAGAAGCACCGGCUAACUACGUGCCAGCAGCCGCGGUAAUACGUAGGGUGCGAGCGUUAAUCGGAAUUACUGGGCGUAAAGUGUGCGCAGGUGGCCGCGCAUGUCGAGUGUGAAAUCCCCGGGCUUAACUUGGGAAUUGCGCUCGAAACUACGUGGCUAGAGUGUGGCAGANGAAGGUGGAAUUCCACGUGUAGCGGUGAAAUGCGUAGAGAUGUGGAGGAACACCGAUGGCGAAGGCAGCCUUCUGGGCCAACACUGACGCUCAUGCACGAAAGCGUGGGGAGCAAACAGGAUUAGAUACCCUGGUAGUCCACGCCCUAAACGAUGAUGACUAGUUGUUGGGGGAGUUAAAUCCCUUAGUAACGCAGCUAACGCGUGAAGUCAUCCGCCUGGGGAGUACGGUCGCAAGAUUAAAACUCA
Molecule: ribosomal RNA, 545 nt
Filed under: uncultured bacterium Beta-132
Lineage: Bacteria
Description: bacterial SSU rRNA
Rfam family: Bacterial small subunit ribosomal RNA
Source: RNAcentral